AUCCAGUCGAGUGUUAAGCGUCAGAGGAGCGGAGCGCGAGAGAGCUGAAUACCACAAUCAUGGCAACCACAACAGCAGAAGCCGAAACCCGCCAGAGACUGCUACGAAACGUGAAGAAGGAGGUCAAGCAGAUCAUGGAGGAAGCAGUCACAAGAAAGUUUGUUCAUGAAGACAGCAGCCAUAUUGUCUCAUUCUGUG
Long non-coding RNA from Sinocyclocheilus grahami, 198 nucleotides. RefSeq lists it as uncharacterized. The record is from RefSeq and is a predicted model, not a curated record. The transcript is spliced from 3 exons. NCBI's taxonomy places the organism in Eukaryota, Metazoa, Chordata, Actinopteri, Cypriniformes, Cyprinidae.